This 357-nucleotide unclassified non-coding RNA is filed under the name uncultured Ascomycota. RNAcentral's name for it is "sequence contains ITS1". The stretch from base 1 to 106 matches the Rfam family "5.8S ribosomal RNA", at positions 50 to 154 of the family's 154-position model. The record is from RNAcentral. Lineage: Eukaryota; Fungi; Ascomycota.
GAAAUGCGAUAAGUAAUGUGAAUUGCAGAAUUCAGUGAACCAUCGAAUCUUUGAACGCACAUUGCGCCCCUCGGGUCUCCCGGGGGGCAUGCCUGUCCGAGCGUCAUGCUUCCUGUCGGGCCCCCGCUGUGGGGCCCGGAGUUGGGACCCGCGUGUGCCCCGGAGAUGGGGCGACGCGGGCCCGAAAUGAAGUGGAGUCCACCUGAGGACGAGAAGCGACCAAGGCCUCUGCCAUCGCUCCCCCUUCCGCAGGGCUGGGCUCCUACCUCCUCGAAGGCUGGCUCACACCGGCUUGAGGGGACGUCUAGUCACAACGCGACCGACCUCGGAUCAGGUAGGGAUACCCGCUGAACUUAA